RNAcentral lists this long non-coding RNA (974 nucleotides) under Salvia miltiorrhiza (redroot sage). RNAcentral describes it as "long non-coding RNA (SMIL_LNC008889)". Lineage: Eukaryota; Viridiplantae; Streptophyta; Magnoliopsida; Lamiales; Lamiaceae. The record is from RNAcentral.
AAAAACUACAAAAAGUAAUAAAAAAAUUGUUAAAAAUUACAAAAAAAAAUUACAAUAUGGAGAAACCCAUACAACUAACUAAAUCUUUUUCAACCUGGAAACAAAUUUUUAAAUAAAUUACUUCCUCCGUCCACGAAAGAACUUCAUAUCUUUCCUUUUUGGGACGUCCACAAAAGAACUUCUUAUCUAUUUUUUGACUAUACCCUACCACUUAUAAUCCUUUUACUUUUCACUUUUCACAACUCUCAAUAUUAAUUAUAACACAUUUUCAUCACCUCCAAUAUACUCAACUACCUUUUAUCCACUCUCAAUACACUCAACAAUAUUUUUUCUUAAAACCUGUGCCACUCCCUCCUAGUAAAUUCUUUCAUGGACUGAGGGAGUAAUUUUUAAAAAAAUUUAACCUUUGUUUGUUCGGACAAAUUUUAUCCAAAUGUGCACUCAUAAAUUAAACUGCACUUUAGACAAUAAAAUUUGAAUGCUCAGGCCAAGUUUGAUAGGGCAUAUUAGGAUUGAUAGCUUACAUUUCUUGUGUUUGACAGGCAAUAUAUGUAACAGCCAAGGCCCGUAAAAAACGUACGGCCCGCAUAAAAAACACUGUUAUUCUUUGUAAAUGUAACUCGCUCCCACCCCCAGUUCCACAAGGGAGAAAGACACAAGUAACCAAAAUGACAUAGUUUAUGACUUAUAUAGCCACCACUUAUAAUACAUGACUUUAGGGGUCAAAAGCCAUUGAAAAGACAAAACAACCCUUACUUAUAACUAAAUAAAAAUAAAAGAAAACUAAAAUAAAUCUUAACUUACAAAAUAUAAAAUAAAACAAAAUAAAAAUCUGGAAUUUGACUUAACAAUUAAAAAAAACUGAAAUUUGCAUUAACAAUUAAAAAAAGAAAAGAGAAAAGAGCCCUAAUUAAAACAUGAACUGAACGGUUUCUUCAUUUCAAAUUCUCGUGCUCUUCUUCUUCUUCCUCACA